AAAUUGAAGAGUUUGAUCAUGGCUCAGAUUGAACGCUGGCGGCAGGCCUAACACAUGCAAGUCGAACGGUAACAGGAAGAAGCUUGCUUCUUUGCUGACGAGUGGCGGACGGGUGAGUAAUGUCUGGGAAACUGCCUGAUGGAGGGGGAUAACUACUGGAAACGGUAGCUAAUACCGCAUAACGUCGCAAGACCAAAGAGGGGGACCUUCGGGCCUCUUGCCAUCGGAUGUGCCCAGAUGGGAUUAGCUUGUUGGUG
Molecule: ribosomal RNA, 257 nt
Filed under: Escherichia coli
Lineage: Bacteria; Pseudomonadati; Pseudomonadota; Gammaproteobacteria; Enterobacterales; Enterobacteriaceae
Description: partial 16S ribosomal RNA
Rfam family: Bacterial small subunit ribosomal RNA
Source: RNAcentral